AGCCGACAUGUCUUGUCUUUUUUCCAGAUCACACCAGGAAGUGUAGCUACAGCUGAUAUCAUGGAGAUCUUAAAGGAAGAUGAUCCUGAACUGGAGGAUCCAGUUGAGCAGCUUCCACCCCACACUGCAGAAAGGACGUGUGUUGAUGCUCUUUUAAGUCUUAGUGAGGAAAGCUCCAUGAACAAUCUAGGGCCGUUUGAGUAUAAGUCUUACUCAGGCUGGGAAGAAGCUGUCUGUGGAUGGACCAAAGCAUCCCCACUAAGCUGCAUACUGGGAACUGAGACAAACCACAGGAAUUCAAAGCAGAGGGAAAAUGAUAAGCUGGCCUCUUCGUCCACACACCUAACACUCUCUAAAGCAGAGAAUUCAGUGGACCAGCAUAAGACCAAGAACCCCACCUCAGCAGGCAAGCGUUCAGCCUCACAGAGUCACACAUCUCCGUACAACCAUCAUUCUGAUACAGCAGAAGGGACUGUUUCCAAUACCAUGAAGUUGAGCAUGGGAAACCUGUUGAUAAAGGACAAAAUGGAGGAAGAAAGACCAAGAGAAAAUCCAGCAUUCCCACUAAAAUGCAAUGUGUCAGAGAAUGACCACAUCAAGCUUCUAAAGUACAGCCAUAGACUCUAUGAUAAUACAAUUCCCCUCAAAAACGUUACUUUCUUGCCCCCUAUUUGGUCACCAAUCCUGAAUUCAAAGAUGAGUCCCUGCAAGGGCAAGAAAGCCUCCCAAGCACGAACAUUAGUGGAAAACUGUGUUAUUUCAGACAAGUCGAGUAGCAGGACGAUAAGCGUGAACACGAUAACUAAGUCUGAUUCCACUCCUUAUCUAUGGAAGCACGUCUCCGAAAAUCAAACUUUUCAGCCAAAUUCCCAGGUCUUCCCUACAGAUAAGAAGUAUGGAAUACAAAUCUUUCCUGAACUUCAGACAUCUCACAAACCUAGCUGCCCCAUGGGAAACCGCACAACCCAUGCAAUCAUUAAAAAAGCCCAUGGACCUAUUCUGAUGAAAAACCAGGCUGUAUGACGACAAUCUGUGAAAUAAACUACCGUCAUGGCUUUCGUGAUAUGCA
RNAcentral lists this long non-coding RNA (1069 nucleotides) under Gouania willdenowi (blunt-snouted clingfish). Its description in RNAcentral is "lncRNA (ENSGWIG00000006299.1)". Lineage: Eukaryota; Metazoa; Chordata; Actinopteri; Blenniiformes; Gobiesocidae. The record is from RNAcentral.